AGAGUUGUAGUUUAUAAUAAAACAUCUUGUUUCAAACUAGAAAUAAGGAUUAACUUCCUCUCCUCUG
Molecule: transfer RNA, 67 nt
Filed under: Arcuatula senhousia (Asian date mussel)
Lineage: Eukaryota; Metazoa; Mollusca; Bivalvia; Mytilida; Mytilidae
Description: tRNA-Trp
Rfam family: tRNA
About the family: Transfer RNA (tRNA) molecules are approximately 80 nucleotides in length. Their secondary structure includes four short double-helical elements and three loops (D, anti-codon, and T loops).
Source: RNAcentral